GUCAGUGUCGUCUAGUGGUUAGUACGCGAGCUUCACACGCUCGAGAUCGAGGGUUCGAUCCCCUCCUCUGAUA
RNAcentral lists this transfer RNA (73 nucleotides) under Phytophthora infestans (potato late blight agent). RNAcentral describes it as "tRNA-Val". It matches the Rfam family "tRNA". From Rfam's summary of the family: Transfer RNA (tRNA) molecules are approximately 80 nucleotides in length. Their secondary structure includes four short double-helical elements and three loops (D, anti-codon, and T loops). The record is from RNAcentral. Lineage: Eukaryota; Oomycota; Peronosporomycetes; Peronosporales; Peronosporaceae.